GAUGAAGAACGUAGCGAAAUGCGAUAAGUAAUGCGAAUUGCAGAAUUUCCGUGAGUCAUCGAAUCUUUGAACGCACAUUGCGCCCCCUGGCAUUCCGGGGGGCAUGCCUGUUCGAGCGUCUCCAGGACGAAUCCUCGCGCGAGUGAACGCGCGGUCGUGGCGGAGGUGGCGUGCCCGAGCAGGGCGGCCACCGCGCUGGAAUCCAUGGGCGGACGCCUGCCGCGUGGCCGAGCGUGAUAUGACGCAUUGGCGCUCGUGCGCGGCGAGGCUGCCAGCCCUGGCCCGUCUGUCGGGCGGGGUAGAUCAACACGUGGGAACUCCUCGAAUCAGGUAGGGAUACCCGCUGAACUUAAGCAUAUCAAUAAGCGGAGGA
RNAcentral lists this unclassified non-coding RNA (373 nucleotides) under soil metagenome. RNAcentral's name for it is "partial contains 5.8S ribosomal RNA, internal transcribed spacer 2, and large subunit ribosomal RNA". The stretch from base 1 to 121 matches the Rfam family "5.8S ribosomal RNA", at positions 35 to 154 of the family's 154-position model. The record is from RNAcentral.